GACGAACGCUGGCGGCGUGCCUAAUACAUGCAAGUAGAACGCACAGUUUAUACCGUAGCUUGCUACACCAUAGACUGUGAGUUGCGAACGGGUGAGUAACGCGUAGGUAACCUGCCUGGUAGCGGGGGAUAACUAUUGGAAACGAUAGCUAAUACCGCAUAAUAUUAAUUAUUGCAUGAUAAUUAAUUGAAAGGUGCAAUUGCACCACUACCAGAUGGACCUGCGUUGUAUUAGCUAGUAGGUGAGGUAACGGCUCACCUAGGCGACGAUACAUAGCCGACCUGAGAGGGUGAGCGGCCACACUGGGACUGAGACACGGCCCAGACUACUGCGGGAGGGAGCAGGAGGGAAUCUUCGGCAAUGGACGAAAGUCUGACCGAGCAACGCCGCGUGAGUGAAGAAGGUUUUCGGAUCGUAAAGCUCUGUUGUAAGAGAAGAACGGGUGUGGGAGUGGAAAGUUCACACUGUGACGGUAUCUUACCAGAAAGGGACGGCUAACUACGUG
RNAcentral lists this ribosomal RNA (505 nucleotides) under uncultured bacterium. RNAcentral describes it as "partial 16S ribosomal RNA". It matches the Rfam family "Bacterial small subunit ribosomal RNA", at positions 28 to 507 of the family's 1533-position model. The record is from RNAcentral.